This 337-nucleotide unclassified non-coding RNA is filed under the name soil metagenome. Its description in RNAcentral is "partial contains 5.8S ribosomal RNA, internal transcribed spacer 2, and large subunit ribosomal RNA". The stretch from base 1 to 120 matches the Rfam family "5.8S ribosomal RNA", at positions 35 to 154 of the family's 154-position model. The record is from RNAcentral.
GAUGAAGAACGAAGUGAAAUGCGAUACGUAGUGUGAAUUGCAGAAUUCAGUGAAUCAUCGAAUCUUUGAACGCACAUUGCACCUCUCGGUAUUCCGGGAGGUAUGCCUGUUCGAGCGUCAUUUGUACCCUCAAGCUCUGCUUCGUGUUGGGUGUUUGUUCCGCCUCUGUGUGUGAACUCGCCUCAAAACAAUUGGCAGCCGGCGUACUUGUUUCGGAGCGCAGCACAUUUUGCGAUCCAGAUCAACGUACAGCGGCAUCCAAGAAGCCUUAUUUAACGCUCUUGACCUCGGAUCAGGUAGGGAUACCCGCUGAACUUAAGCAUAUCAUAAGCGGAGA